RNAcentral lists this ribosomal RNA (484 nucleotides) under uncultured bacterium. RNAcentral's name for it is "partial 16S ribosomal RNA". It matches the Rfam family "Bacterial small subunit ribosomal RNA", at positions 30 to 507 of the family's 1533-position model. The record is from RNAcentral.
AUUGAACGCUGGCGGCAGGCCUAACACAUGCAAGUCGAGCGGAUGAAGGGAGCUUGCUCCUGGAUUCAGCGGCGGGCGGGUGAGUAAUGCCUAGGAAUCUGCCUGGUAGUGGGGGAUAACGUCCGGAAACGGGCGCUAAUACCGCAUACGUCCUGAGGGAGAAAGUGGGGGAUCUUCGGACCUCACGCUAUCAGAUGAGCCUAGGUCGGAUUAGCUAGUUGGUGGGGUAAAGGCCUACCAAGGCGACGUUCCGUAACUGGUCUGAGAGGAUGAUCAGUCACACUGGAACUGAGACACGGUCCAGACUCCUACGGGAGGCAGCAGUGGGGAAUAUUGGACAAUGGGCGAAAGCCUGAUCCAGCCAUGCCGCGUGUGUGAAGAAGGUCUUCGGAUUGUAAAGCACUUUAAGUUGGGAGGAAGGGCAGUAAGUUAAUACCUUGCUGUUUUGACGUUACCAACAGAAUAAGCACCGGCUAACUUCGUG